RNAcentral lists this long non-coding RNA (732 nucleotides) under Monodelphis domestica (gray short-tailed opossum). RNAcentral's name for it is "lncRNA (ENSMODG00000049105.1)". Lineage: Eukaryota; Metazoa; Chordata; Mammalia; Didelphimorphia; Didelphidae. The record is from RNAcentral.
GCCACAGGAUUCCGAGCAUGGCAGCUUUUCAAACAUACUUGGUAUAAAACAAACCAUCGUGGAAAAAAACAGACCCACUGCUCAACGCCAACCUGGGGAAACAACAGCAUCCAGGGAUUCCGGCUCGGCAACUGUUUUAUCAACCUGCACAGCAUUAGGAGGGGAGAUGCUGCAUUUGUGAUCAAACGGCUGGAACUGAGAAACCGUUGUAGAGGAAUGGUGGGCUUUGCUGCAAUUUGUGAGCCUGCUUUGAGAAGUCACAAGACUGAAGAGAAGAUGGGAACUUGGGGUUAUAAUGAACAGACCACCAUCAAUUCACAUACGCACAACUCCAUUACAGUGUCAAUGUCAGAAGACCAGGAGAGCACUGCUUUCUACAUUUCAGUGAGAAAAAUUGUACAUCAAUGAUUACAUGUAACAUGAGUUUUACUGUUAUCAGAUACCAGCUUAUGCUAUAGUGGUUACUAUAAAAUUCACGAUGCUGGAUGCUGUAAAAUAUGUUUAAAAAGUAGUCCAUUCUCUGAGCUUAUAAAUUAAAUAGCAUAUAUAGGAACAUAAAGGUGUAGUCCAAAAGCCAGAAAGAUGUUUACCUCAACACAUAUAUUAUUGUCACUUUAGUGAAAUUUCUUUGUAUAUAGUUGCUGGUUUCCUAAUAUCUAACUCAAAAAUUCCUAGAUUGCAAAGCAGGGCUAAUAACUUCUAUCAAUAAAAUUUUUUAUAUCUUUUUUUUCA